GGGCUCGUGGUCUAACGGUAUGACGCGGGUAUGGCAUGCCUGUAGUCCGGGUUCGAUUCCCGGCGGGUCCA
Molecule: transfer RNA, 71 nt
Filed under: Gemmataceae bacterium
Lineage: Bacteria; Pseudomonadati; Planctomycetota; Planctomycetia; Gemmatales; Gemmataceae
Also listed under: 1 other name
Description: tRNA-Ala
Rfam family: tRNA
About the family: Transfer RNA (tRNA) molecules are approximately 80 nucleotides in length.
Source: RNAcentral